AGAUGAGCAUGCGUCCCAUUAGCUAGUUGGUAAGGUAACGGCUUACCAAGGCAACGAUGGGUAGGGGUCCUGAGAGGGAGAUCCCCCACACUGGUACUGAGACACGGACCAGACUCCUACGGGAGGCAGCAGUGAGGAAUAUUGGUCAAUGGGCGCAAGCCUGAACCAGCCAUGCCGCGUGCAGGAUGACGGUCCUAUGGAUUGUAAACUGCUUUUGCACAGGAAGAAACACUCGGUCGUGACCGAGCUUGACGGUACUGUGAGAAUAAGGAUCGGCUAACUCCGUGCCAGCAGCCGCGGUAAUACGGAGGAUCCAAGCGUUAUCCGGAAUCAUUGGGUUUAAAGGGUCCGUAGGUGGCCAGAUAAGUCAGUGGUGAAAGCCCAUCGCUCAACGAUGGAACGGCCAUUGAUACUGUUUGGCUUGAAUUAUUUGGAAGUAACUAGAAUAUGUAGUGUAGCGGUGAAAUGCUUAGAGAUUACAUGGAAUACCAAUUGCGAAGGCAGGUUACUACAAAUUGAUUGACGCUGAUGGACGAAAGCGUGGGUAGCGAACAGGAUUAGAUACCCUGGUAGUCCACGCCGUAAACGAUGGAUACUAGCUGUUGGGAGCAAUCUCAGUGGCUAAGCGAAAGUGAUAAGUAUCCCACCUGGGGAGUACGUUCGCAAGAAUGAAACUCAAAGGAAUUGACGGGGGCCCGCACAAGCGGUGGAGCAUGUGGUUUAAUUCGAUGAUACGCGAGGAACCUUACCAAGGCUUAAAUGUAGAUUGACCGGUUUGGAAACAGACUUUUCGCAAGACAAUUUACAAGGUGCUGCAUGGUUGUCGUCAGCUCGUGCCGUGAGGUGUCAGGUUAAGUCCUAUAACGAGCGCAACCCCUGUUGUUAGUUGCCAGCGAGUCAUGUCGGGAACUCUAGCAAGACUGCCAGUGUAAACUGUGAGGAAGGUGGGGAUGACGUCAAAUCAUCACGGCCCUUACGCCUUGGGCUACACACGUGCUACAAUGGCCGGUACAGAGAGCAGCCACU
This 1026-nucleotide ribosomal RNA is filed under the name uncultured Flavobacterium sp. RNAcentral's name for it is "bacterial SSU rRNA". It matches the Rfam family "Bacterial small subunit ribosomal RNA", at positions 223 to 1254 of the family's 1533-position model. The record is from RNAcentral. Lineage: Bacteria; Pseudomonadati; Bacteroidota; Flavobacteriia; Flavobacteriales; Flavobacteriaceae.